CCUACGGGCGACAGCAGUGAGGAAUAGUGGUCGAUGGGCGCGAGCCUGAACCAGCCAAGUAGCGUGAAGGAUGACUGCCCUACGGGGUGUAAACUUCUUUUAUAAAGGAAUAAAGUGAGGCACGUGUGCCUUUUUGUAUGUACGUUAUGAAUAAGGAUCGGCUAACGCCGUGCCAGCAGCCGCGGUAAUACGGAGGAUCCGAGCGUUCUCCGGAUUUAGUGGGUUUAAAGGGAGCGUCGAUGGGUUGUUAAGUCCGUUGUGAAAGUUUGCGGCUCCACCGUAAAAUUGCAAUUGCUACUGGCAGUCUUGAGUCCAGUUGAGGUAGGCGGUAUUCGUGGUGUAGCGG
RNAcentral lists this ribosomal RNA (346 nucleotides) under uncultured bacterium. Its description in RNAcentral is "partial 16S ribosomal RNA". It matches the Rfam family "Bacterial small subunit ribosomal RNA", at positions 338 to 681 of the family's 1533-position model. The record is from RNAcentral.